Bos taurus (domestic cattle) is the source of this 726-nucleotide long non-coding RNA. The record is from Ensembl. Lineage: Eukaryota; Metazoa; Chordata; Mammalia; Artiodactyla; Bovidae.
GUCUUCAUUCCAAGCGGAGGGCGGGCUACAGAUAGAGGAUUGGGUGUCUCUUCCAAGCUCCAAGUCCUUCACAGAAAUGGGCUACUGUGCAUGUUUUCUUCCCAACCUUGAGGUCACCUGUGUGGAUAGAGGUUUUGAAAGAUUUCAGACUCUGGGCACAGAGGUCAUAUCCCGCCUUGACUCUCGCCACGCCUUCCUUGACUUCACAGGUGCUUUCCCUUCAGAAGGCCCUGCUCUGAGCGGCCCCUCUUCCCCGACCCACUCCUUCCAAGACGCAGUACUCGGCAUAGGACGCCCACCUGCCCGCCUUGCGCGGGGCUGACCUGGACAUCCCUGCCCGGGGCUCACACCCCUGCAGGACUGGGGGUAGAUGGAGCCAAAGAGGAUGUCCCCCAGGCUCUACAGACUCAGCAACUUGGGGUGGAGAAUGAGAGUGGAUCAGUCAUUGGAUUGACCAAAGAAAAGCCAGAAUGUUUCAGCCUGAGCUCUCAGAAGAAUGCAAAGCAGAUAAAGCUUCCCUUCUCCCGGCCUUUCCUUUCCUUCUGCCCGCAGCGGGAGGAAGGCAGGCCGAGCCGUUCCCUCUCUCUCCACGUCAGCUCUCCAGCUUCUAGGAAAAUCUUCCCCUGCCGCGGGCCCGGGCAUCCCGAGGGCUGCCGCCGGCCUCUGCUCCAACCCCGGUGCAGCGGCGGAGGGCGCCCCGCCGCGGGGGCAGGCUCUCCCUGGAAA